RNAcentral lists this ribosomal RNA (471 nucleotides) under uncultured bacterium. Its description in RNAcentral is "partial 16S ribosomal RNA". It matches the Rfam family "Bacterial small subunit ribosomal RNA", at positions 28 to 506 of the family's 1533-position model. The record is from RNAcentral.
GACGAACGCUGGCGGCGUGCUUAACACAUGCAAGUCGAGCGGAAAGGCCCUUCGGGGUACUCGAGCGGCGAACGGGUGAGUAACACGUGAGUAAUCUGCCCUUGGCUUUGGGAUAACUACCGGAAACGGUGGCUAAUACCGGAUACGACAACCGUCUGCAUGGGCUGGUUGUGGAAAGUUUUUUCGGCCAGGGAUGUGCUCGCGGCCUAUCAGCUUGUUGGUGGGGUAAUGGCCUACCAAGGCUUCGACGGGUAGCCGGCCUGAGAGGGUGACCGGCCACACUGGGACUGAGACACGGCCCAGCCUCCUACGGGAGGCAGCAGUGGGGAAUAUGGGAAAAUGGGCGGAAGCCUGAUCCCGCAACGCCGCGGGAGGGAUGGCGGCCUUCGGGUUGUAAACCUCUUUCAGUACCGACGAAGCGCCGAUGAUGGUGGUGACGGUAGGUACAGAAGAAGCACCGGCCAACUACGU